AUCAAUGGAUGUAGAUCAAAUCUCAGUGCUCAUACUACUCAACUCCUCUGCAGCCUUUGACACAGUCAGCUGUGGGGUUUUAUUGAUCCACUGCCACAUCAUAGCUAGAGUAAACAAUGCAGCUCUGUAAUGACUCCAGUCAUUCCUCUUCAGCAGGACCCAGAAAGGACCUGCUCAUUUUUACCUAAUUGCUGUCACCUGUGGAAACCUACUGGACUCUAUCUCAUCCUCUGUGCUCUUCAAUUUGUACAUCAGGUUGCUUGGAGAGGUGGGGUGAUGACACAGCUAUGCUGUCAACAACAGGCUGAUGAUGACACCCAGCUGCAUGUCUCCUACUCCACAGAUGCCAUUACAAGGAGGUCACAAUGCCUGCAGGAGAUCAGCUUCUGGGUGAAGAGCACCUGGUACAAGCAGAGCCUGUGCAAGACCAAAACACGGACAGAAGCAGUAGACUCUUAGUGCUUUUCAACUGUCCUCCUUGAAGGAGCCUGCAGUCUUCGGCAGCACAGUCCUGAAAGACGAGUGUCUGCCAUGUUAGAAAGGAAAUUACUGAAAUUAAAGUUAGAGCGUUUCCUGGUUUCAGUGAAGCACUGCCUGUAUCAAAGAACACCUAGACAUGCGAAGAGCGCACGAGAUCGCCUGGAUGUUGUUUUCCGAAGGUGCCAGGAAUGAACCCA
This is a long non-coding RNA of Mauremys reevesii (Reeves's turtle), 677 nucleotides long. RefSeq lists it as uncharacterized. The record is from RefSeq and is a predicted model, not a curated record. The transcript is spliced from 3 exons. NCBI's taxonomy places the organism in Eukaryota, Metazoa, Chordata, Testudines, Geoemydidae.